RNAcentral lists this small nucleolar RNA (84 nucleotides) under Cajanus cajan (pigeon pea). RNAcentral's name for it is "snoRNA gene-KK1_013282". The record is from RNAcentral. Lineage: Eukaryota; Viridiplantae; Streptophyta; Magnoliopsida; Fabales; Fabaceae.
GGCCUCAUAGAGAAGAUUAGAUUUAUCUACAUUGAAUAACUUCUGACAUAUGCUUGUCUUUUUUCAAUGAUUUAAUCAUUGGCC